RNAcentral lists this long non-coding RNA (1075 nucleotides) under Drosophila guanche. Lineage: Eukaryota; Metazoa; Arthropoda; Insecta; Diptera; Drosophilidae. The record is from RNAcentral.
UGGAUGGUCUCUCCUGUGGGAUUCCGAGGGCUAUACGUCGUUCUUGCUCCAGCCGUUUUCGCUGAUCAGAUGCCUCCUUGGCUCGGGCCUCAUUAAACAGACGCUGCUGUUCAAGUGCAAUCUGCUCACGGUGAAUUAAAGUUGGCAGCGGCUGCUGCUGUUGGGCUGCUGCUUCCUGCAAGAGCUGCUGUUGGAGCGGAAGAACGUGAGUUUCCAGAUGCCUUUUGUAUCUCGGCCGUUCCAAUCUCCGGGGGAUGAAUGGAUGCAUAAUAAGCUUUCUUGCUUCCAGAUUUGGAUGAGUAGAGAGUGAUGUUGCCAUUCUGCUGCUAUCCGUGUUAAAGAUGUUCUCUGCUGAGUCGAUGUUGUGUGCCUCUCAGAUGUCCUGGCUUCUGAUGUAUCUGCUGGCCAUUGCAAUCAUAUCAUAUCAUAUUUCCAUAUCGGGGCGAUUAAUUGCUUAUAUACAACCAUUUUGCAUUCUUUUGACAGACGGCUCUGACUGCCUAUAAUCCAGUUUAACUUGAUGGCUGCUAACCUCACUCUAUCAACCAGACAUGAUACGUGUGCAUGCAGAACCAGCUUCCUGUCCAUUAUCAGGCCUAGGUAGCGGUGACUGGACUUAUUAACAAUAUGAGUAUCAUACAUUUUUGGUGACAGUUCUCUAAUUCCAUUUUCAAUUGAUUUCCUUGUGUAUAAUACAUGUAUCGUUUUAUCUUUGUUUAGGCUGAUGCCACAUUUAGAGGCCCAGGAGGUGAAGCUUUGGAGAUAUUUCUCCUUCGUACGGACCGCUGUAGUGGCCAAGCUUCUGGCACACAGGAUGAUGGUGUCGUCUGCGUAUGUAGAUAGCAACAUGUCCUUAUAGUAAUCUGACCUCCAUCUAUCAUUUUGUCCCUCUAGGUGCGGCAGCGGCAUGUCUGACGUGAAAACAGUGUACAACACGGGGCCAAGGACACUCCCCUGUGGGACUCCAGCGCAGAUUUUUCCGGAUCUAGAUCGUAGUCCGUUUUGGCCAUUUACAAUAAAUGAUCUAUUAGUGAGAUAACUUUCUAGAACCUUGUAAUACGCAAAAGGCAGUAGC